UGGUGUUACAAAUUCCGCAUGUUAUUAGAAACUAAAGUAUUUAGUCGGUUAUGGAGUGGGGAUGACGUAAGAUUAGGUAGUAGGCGGGGUAACGGCCCACCUAGCCGACGAUCUUUAGGGGUUCUGAGAGGAAGGUCCCCCACACUGGUACUGAGACACGGACCAGACUCCUACGGGAGGCAGCAGUGAGGAAUAUUGGUCAAUGGGCGGAAGCCUGAACCAGCCAAGUAGCGUGAAGGAUUACAGCCCUACGGGUUUAAACUUCUUUAUAUAAGAGUAAUGUGCACUACGUGUAGUGUAUUGCAAGUAUUAUAUGAAUAAGCAUCGGCUAACUCCGUG
This 339-nucleotide ribosomal RNA is filed under the name uncultured bacterium. RNAcentral's name for it is "bacterial SSU rRNA". It matches the Rfam family "Bacterial small subunit ribosomal RNA", at positions 155 to 507 of the family's 1533-position model. The record is from RNAcentral.